UCUCGUCGUUGGCCUUUCUUCUUCCGAUCCCCCUCCAAAAAAAGUGACACACCCCCUCUACCUUCUCUGCCUCCAAGAGCGUCCAGCCCCCCACUCUUUUCAGCAGAGAAUCCCCUUCCGCUAGACCACGCUCUCUCUGGUUUCUUUUCUUCAAUGUCCGAACGCUCGACCUCUUGCCUCCAGAAUUAGCGCCCUGCCCCUCCUUUCUUUUCCCUUCCUUCUGGUUCGAGCUCAGGCAGUUUCCUCCCACAAACCAAAACCAGCCGAAGCUCCCCCCUUGGUUCUCUCACUUUCCGGCUCUCCGCAACUUGCCUCUUCAACGGCCGCCCUCUCCGAAAACCGACAGGCGUCUCUCCUUCUUUCGUUAUGCGAACGGGAGCCUCUUCAGGCGAGCAUCCCUUCCGGCCGAAGACGUUCCUCGGCGAGCAACUCCUUUCUCGGAUUCUCUCUCUGCGAUCUGAUCUUUGCC
This 469-nucleotide long non-coding RNA is filed under the name Eucalyptus grandis. Its description in RNAcentral is "long non-coding RNA (EGRA_LNC001583)". The record is from RNAcentral. Lineage: Eukaryota; Viridiplantae; Streptophyta; Magnoliopsida; Myrtales; Myrtaceae.